AUGAAAUUAUACAAGAUGGAUAGUGAUGUGCCAUGCCUCUCUUACUCUUACCCCUGCUCAGAGAUUCUAUUUACACGUAUUCCGAGCUGGAACCAGCGAUGGUAUCGAUGAAUACGGAGUAGAUAAAUGUUGACAGGGAAGAUGUUCGGGUCUUAACGAAAAACAAAACGGGUAUGCGAAUCUGGUUACUAAAUUUGUCAUAAAACUGGUAGCAUAAAACUUGGAUCAAAAGCUAAAAUAGAAUCUGUAAGAUUACUGUGAUUAUGAGAUUAAUACUAACCCAGAAGGAUCUGGCUUUUGCUCUUAAGUAAACUAAAUAAUUGUACUAAUAUUAUGAUGUAUAUAGUUACAACGGCUGUAUCAUCCAAAGCUACCUAAAAUUAUUAACGAUUAAGUAAUUUUUAGCGUGGCGACCACACCCUUACCAGCUGAAUCUUCUAAAUCCCAAAAUAAUGAGAAUUUUCAAGGGCUAUGCUAACAACACUACUAAAGAGCCUCUUGAAAUAACCAACUACCACGAUGAAGAUUAGCUUCAAAAGUGUCCAAAAUUGGUCAAGGUAAAGUAUAUCACAAUCAGAAGAAUGUGACCUGAUAACCCCCCACAAGAUAGAUGUUUAAAUUUUGAAUUUCGCGGAAAUAUAUGCAAC
Molecule: long non-coding RNA, 647 nt
Organism: Photinus pyralis (common eastern firefly)
Lineage: Eukaryota; Metazoa; Arthropoda; Insecta; Coleoptera; Lampyridae
Exons: 3
Source: RefSeq, a predicted model, not a curated record